This 876-nucleotide long non-coding RNA is filed under the name Betta splendens (Siamese fighting fish). RNAcentral describes it as "lncRNA (ENSBSLG00000011529.1)". Lineage: Eukaryota; Metazoa; Chordata; Actinopteri; Anabantiformes; Osphronemidae. The record is from RNAcentral.
AUGGCGGACAAUCAGCCCAAAUCCAAGCUUAAGCGAAAGAAAUGGGCUGUGGAGGAGAUUCACCGGGAGGAAACCAGGAUUGGGACGACGAAGAGGGAUGACUCCUUACUGCCUGGUGACGUGACGGCUCAGACGGAUCGCUCAGUGAGUCCAGCAGCACCAUGGUGGAAGAGAGAGCAGCUGCCUGCUGCAGAGAGGCUGUGGAUGCUCACACUAAGGUCUGCUCUGCCGUACCUGGACAACCAGCACUGGGAUCUGGUUCCUGAUUUUCCACAGCCAUCUACAAUAAAACCAACAGCAUUGAAGUUAGAAGAACAGCGGUGGUGUGACUUAAAUGAAGAGGUUUCCCCCUUUCCUGAACCUGCUCCUCUCAGGCUCCAAUCCUCCCAGCAGGACCUGUCAGUACACACCAAACCUGUACCAGACCCGCCUGACAGACAGCAGUCACUGCACAGCAGGGAGAGUCACGAUGGUAAAACAACAACAACAACCCUUCAAAGCCUCGCCAAAAAAACACGGCCAUCCCUCCACUGCUGGGAGACGGCUGCACCACCAGUAGGAUCCUCAAAUGUUGGGAGUGAAGCAGGAAGAAAAGGUGGGGAGCAAGGAGAACCACAAGCCGUAACUGUCAACAGGCAGCUUCACACAAACGAGAUGAAGAUGUCUGACAGCCGGGUUUCUCUCCAGAAGGGGAGUGAAAAUAAAAAGGUGGUGGUGAUGGAAGAUAAAGCAGCAGAGGAGGUGCAGGAUGGAGGAGGAGGGCUUCAGAGCUGCCCCAUGUGCCUGAUGGUGUUCCCUGUUGGGUUCACCCAGAUGGACUGUGACGGCCACCUGGCCCAGUGUCUGUCAGAGAUGGACGUGGACUUGACCUGGUAA